CCUACGGGAGGCAGCAGUAGGGAAUCUUCCACAAUGGGCGAAAGCCUGAUGGAGCAACGCCGCGUGGGUGAAGAAGGUCUUCGGAUCGUAAAACCCUGUUGUUAGAGAAGAAAGUGCGUGAGAGUAACUGUUCACGUUUCGACGGUAUCUAACAAGAAAGCCACGGCUAACUACGUGCCAGCAGCCGCGGUAAUACGUAGGUGGCAAGCGUUAUCCGGAUUUAUUGGGCGUAAAGGGAACGCGGGCGGUCUUUUAAGUCUGAUGUGAAAGGCUUCGGCUUAACCGGAGUAGUGCAUUGGAAACUGGGAGACUUGAGUGCAGAAGAGGAGAGUGGAACUCCAUGUGUAGCGGUGAAAUGCGUAGAUAUAUGGAAGAACACCAGUGGCGAAAGCGGCUCUCUGGUCUGUAACUGACGCUGAGGUUCGAAAGCGUGGGUAGCAAACAGGAUUAGAUACCCCAGUAGUC
This 465-nucleotide ribosomal RNA is filed under the name uncultured bacterium. Its description in RNAcentral is "partial 16S ribosomal RNA". It matches the Rfam family "Bacterial small subunit ribosomal RNA", at positions 338 to 795 of the family's 1533-position model. The record is from RNAcentral.